Molecule: ribosomal RNA, 486 nt
Filed under: uncultured bacterium
Lineage: Bacteria
Description: partial 16S ribosomal RNA
Rfam family: Bacterial small subunit ribosomal RNA
Source: RNAcentral
AUUGAACGCUGGCGGCAUGCCUUACACAUGCAAGUCGAACGGCAGCACGGGUGCUUGCACCUGGUGGCGAGUGGCGAACGGGUGAGUAAUACAUCGGAACAUGUCCUGUAGUGGGGGAUAGCCCGGCGAAAGCCGGAUUAAUACCGCAUACGAUCUACGGAUGAAAGCGGGGGACCUUCGGGCCUCGCGCUAUAGGGUUGGCCGAUGGCUGAUUAGCUAGUUGGUGGGGUAAAGGCCUACCAAGGCGACGAUCAGCAGCUGGUCUGAGAGGACGACCAGCCACACUGGGACUGAGACACGGCCCAGACUCCUACGGGAGGCAGCAGUGGGGAAUUUUGGACAAUGGGCGAAAGCCUGAUCCAGCAAUGCCGCGUGUGUGAAGAAGGCCUUCGGGUUGUAAAGCACUUUUGUCCGGAAAGAAAUCCUUGGCCCUAAUACGGUCGGGGGAUGACGGUACCGGAAGAAUAAGCACCGGCUAACUACGUA